RNAcentral lists this long non-coding RNA (242 nucleotides) under Helianthus annuus (common sunflower). RNAcentral's name for it is "sRNA HanXRQr2_Chr13g0573901". The record is from RNAcentral. Lineage: Eukaryota; Viridiplantae; Streptophyta; Magnoliopsida; Asterales; Asteraceae.
UUAACUUGUCGGAAGAUGGUAGUUUCUGGCCUCUCUUCAUAUUGUACUAAGUGCUUAUACAAACUCAACACACAGUGUGAGCAGCAAUGAGAAAAAAAGAUGUAGGGCUUCAUUAAGACCCAACCAUGCCCCAUCUUCCAUUCAGUGUUGUGUACCCUGAUAUAGAUUACCUGCAAAAGAAUAAAAGGAGAAUAUGAGUACACUAAAGUUUCGGCUGCAAACGCAGCGGUUAACUGUUGCGU